Molecule: ribosomal RNA, 496 nt
Filed under: uncultured bacterium
Lineage: Bacteria
Description: partial 16S ribosomal RNA
Rfam family: Bacterial small subunit ribosomal RNA
Source: RNAcentral
AUGAACGCUGGCGGCGUGCCUAAUACAUGCAAGUCGCGCGAACGGACGAGAAGCUUGCUUCUCUGAUGUUAGCGGCGGACGGGUGAGUAACACGUGGAUAACCUACCUAUAAGACUGGGAUAACUUCGGGAAACCGGAGCUAAUACCGGAUGAUAUUUUGAACCGCAUGGUUCAAAAGUGAAAGACGGUCUUGCUGUCACUUAUAGAUGGAUCCGCGCUGCAUUAGCUAGUUGGUAAGGUAACGGCUUACCAAGGCAACGAUGCAUAGCCGACCUGAGAGGGUGAUCGGCCACACUGGAACUGAGACACGGUCCAGACUCCUACGGGAGGCAGCAGUAGGGAAUCUUCCGCAAUGGGCGAAAGCCUGACGGAGCAACGCCGCGUGGGUGAUGAAGGUCUUCGGAUCGUAAAACUCUGUUAUUAGGGAAGAACAUAUGUGUAAGUAACUGUGCACAUCUUGACGGUACCUAAUCAGAAAGCCACGGCUAACUACGUG